UAUGCAAUCAUUCUAUCUAAACUCUAAAGCUGCGACUACGACUCAUAAAAAAAAAUUAACAAAAAAACAAUAUUAAUAACAAUAAUAUCCUAAAAAUUAAAGCAUAAUCUCAAUUUACUAGUUACUUAUAAAGUUAUAAUUUAUUGGCAAUAAUAAUUGAUACUUAAUGAUUUAUUAUGUAAUGAUUAUUAAUUAGUAUUGUAUUAACGUCUUUACAAAAUCGUAUUUUCAUAAUCGUAAAAUCGUAUUUUGUUAACGUUAUGAAUUCAGAAUUAGUAAGAAGUAAAUACUUAGUAAACAGUGAGUUGUAGUUAAUAUUAUAUUAUAGUUACCAGUAAUGCACACAGAACCAUGAUUUUGACUACGUUAAUCAAGAAACAAUCGUUAAUUUUAUAUUUCUACAAUUCUACCUGUUAACAUUAUUAUUCAAAGUUUGUCUACCGAUUGUUCUGAUAAUAUGUCGUCCGAAAGCUGCAAGAAAUUUGAAUGUGAUGAAUGUAUGAAAACAUUCUCAAAAAAGAAUAAUUUAAACGAUCAUAUUUUAGCCAAACAUUCUAACACUAAAAAAUAUGUUUGCUCGAUUUGUAAAAAAUCAUUUUCUUACAAACAGUCAUUCAACAGGCAUAUGAAUGUCCAUAAAGUAGCAACUUCUGUUUACUCAUGUUCAGAAUGUGGUUAUAGUUCUCAGUUAAAAUUUAUGCUGACACGGCACAUUAAGAGUGUCCAUCUGAAUAAAAACGACAGUCUUUUUAAAGUAUCCUGUGUGUUUUGCAAUCACCAUUGUUCCAAAAGUAAUUUAUCCACUCAUUAUGUGCUCUGCCAUCCAACAGAAAUUGUUAGUGAACAAUUAAAGUUUGAUUGCUUAGAUGAAUUUUAUGCAUGGAAGUAUGAGGUUGAAGAUCAAGAUAUUAGUAGGUUUGUUAAAGCUCGUACAACAUAUGUUGGUAUAUCUGGUUCUAAACACUUAUUUUUUAAAUGUCACCGUGAUGGAAAAUAUAAGCCUAAAGGCAAUAACAUUAGAAAAUUGAAGUCGUUAGGUACCAAUAAAAUUGGUUCCUAUUGUCCAGCUAGAAUGGAUGUAAUGGUUGAAGGCAACGAAGUUAGUGUACUUUAUAUUAAAACACAUAUUGGUCAUGAUUUAGAACCAAAACGUUUAACUCUAGCCAAAAAUGAGAAAGAUUUCCUUGCUGAACAAUUAACAAUGCCUAAUACUAAUUACAAUGAUAUUUUAAAUGUUGUUAAAACCUUAAAUUCAACAAGUCGUUUGCAUCAUUUAACAAGAAAAGAUUUAGUUACAAUUAAUAGUUCUAUAAAAGAGGCUGCAAGAAGAAAUAAUACCAUGAUUAAAACCAAUGAUAAACUAGAUGAUACAGUAGAAAUAAACAAUGUUUUUGAUGGUGAUUUGGUAGAUUUAUUUAAUGAUCAAAAUCACAAAAAGUCACCACUUGCAUUAAAUUCAGGGAAUGAUUGUAUGGGAUCUGAUAAACAAGAAAUUGUUGAUGUAAAUAAUACUUUGUUGACUUCAGAUCAUUUAGAAUUAAAAGAUAGUUAUACAAAUAAAAUUCAACCUUUAUAUGAAUUAAAUGUUGAACAACAAAUAAUUGAAUCAAAUGAACAAAUACCAAUUUUAGAAUUCAAUGAUGAAAUAUUGGAAGGCAAUCAAGUUAUAGAUUACCAACAACAAUUGACAAAUAUUGAAAAUGAGAGAAUUAGUAUAAUGGAAAAAAUGAAGUUGAUAGUUAAUCAAAUUGCAUGCAAUGAUGAGUUUGCCAUUGUUCAUCAAGGGCUAAUGAAUAUAAUGAGCACAAUUGAUGAAAGAAGGAAUGCAAUCGAUCAAGCAGUAGUCAAUGGAGAUUUAGACAAUAUAAUGAUAUUUGAUGAAAGUAUUUUACAAAAACAAUGCCAGUAACUGUAGGUAAUUCUUAAGUUUAAGUUUGGAAAAUGAUCGUUCUGCUCCUGCCACAGUGAUCGGCAUUGUCAGAAAAAUUAUACAAGCACUUAAAACGUCCGAAAAACUACUUGUACUCGAUAUCCAUAAAUCAUAAUAUCGGGGCCCCUAAAUAUUUCAUAGAAUCGGGGCCCCGGUGCAAUGCACCACUUGCACCGGUGGUUUAUCCAGCACUGAGUACCAUAGACCUAUAAACUAAAGGACAGCGCUUUGAGAGAGAAGUCAAGGAUACAAUAUAGAGUGAGUGAGAUAAGAAACAAAGAAAUAAAAUUUAUACAGUCCUUUUGCGGUGCUCCUUCACUACUUUAUGUUCUUUCUCUCUCAGUUAACCAUAUGGUUAUAUGAUCGCCUAGCAUUGAUGGCAGGGCAGAGUGGAAUGGACUGUCCAUUAGUUUAUAGGUCUAUGGGUAGUACUUAUGGGUUUCUUAUAAGUUAUAAGCAAUUCUACUGUAAAUAAUAGAAUGCCAUUAUAUUAUAAUAUGUUACUCCAGUCACUUACAGCCAACAUGAAUCCAACUCCUCUUACAUAUAGUCAUAUAAAUGAUACAUAAAUUGAUUAGUUAGGUAUUUAUUAAUAAGCUAAAUAAUAAAAUAUUUCAAUAAAUAAAUUAAAACAAAUAAUUAUGAACAUUUUUAAAUAAAGGUUGCAUGUGUUUGAAAUUAGGUAUUUUUACAAAUAAAUGUACCUAUAUAAAAUAUAUUAAUUAUUAUAAUAUAGUGUCAUAUAAUAUGCCAAUAGCUUCAGAUA
This is an RNA transcript of Metopolophium dirhodum (rose-grain aphid), 2696 nucleotides long. It is a transcript of the gene named solute carrier family 35 member C2-like, with no coding region annotated. The record is from RefSeq and is a predicted model, not a curated record. NCBI's taxonomy places the organism in Eukaryota, Metazoa, Arthropoda, Insecta, Hemiptera, Aphididae. The transcript has 6 exons.